CAGGAAUCGAGAACAAAAUAUCCGACAGUGAGCAGGCUUGUUUCUUUACCACCACCCCUCUGUGUCUUUUGAGACCUAUGUCUGUCCGAUAAGUAGGAAGUUUGCCUUUUUUGAGAAAAGUCUGUCAGGAGUCAAUCUGUAAUGCCCUUACAAUACGCCACUUCCGAGAUAUCAGCUCUUUUGUGAUGGAGGACCCAAAUCACAUAAACAAUACCAUAUCGAGAACAAGACAAGCACGGAUCCCUGGAGACACAGAAGUAGGGAUCAGGUGCCUAGGAGGAGUAAGCAUAUCCCGUUGACUAGUCAC
This is a long non-coding RNA of Ostrea edulis (European flat oyster), 307 nucleotides long. RefSeq lists it as uncharacterized. The transcript is spliced from 3 exons. NCBI's taxonomy places the organism in Eukaryota, Metazoa, Mollusca, Bivalvia, Ostreida, Ostreidae. The record is from RefSeq and is a predicted model, not a curated record.